This 134-nucleotide small RNA is filed under the name Escherichia coli. RNAcentral describes it as "RtT sRNA". It matches the Rfam family "RtT RNA". From Rfam's summary of the family: This family represents a bacterial cis-regulatory element known as RtT RNA. Lineage: Bacteria; Pseudomonadati; Pseudomonadota; Gammaproteobacteria; Enterobacterales; Enterobacteriaceae. The record is from RNAcentral.
UGCAUUUGUAGCCUAUGAGGAUGAGAACCUCCGGGGGCAGGGAGAUUCGACUCGAGCGAAGCGAGAGAACGUUGCGCCAGCAACGGCCCGCAGGGCGAGCCACGAAGUGGCGAGUAAUCCUCUAUCACCGACCA